UGCUAGAUUGUCUAGAAAACGGAAAGCAUUGAGAAUGUCAGGAAGGAUACGAGGAUAAACGUAUAAUUUUUGGUUGGAUAGAUGUAGAAGGCAUUCGAAUUAGUGAAAUUGGAAAAUUUUGGAAUCGGAUUUCACUU
This is a non-coding RNA of Caenorhabditis elegans, 137 nucleotides long. Lineage: Eukaryota; Metazoa; Nematoda; Chromadorea; Rhabditida; Rhabditidae. The record is from Ensembl.